UGUGAACUCGAAGAGUAGGGCGGGACACGUGGUAUCCUGUCUGAAUAUGGGGGGACCAUCCUCCAAGGCUAAAUACUCCUGACUGACCGAUAGUGAACCAGUACCGUGAGGGAAAGGCGAAAAGAACCCCGGCGAGGGGAGUGAAAAAGAACCUGAAACCGUGUACGUACAAGCAGUGGGAGCACCUUCGGGUGUGACUGCGUACCUUUUGUAUAAUGGGUCAGCGACUUAUAUUCUGUAGCAAGGUUAACCGUAUAGGGGAGCCGCAGGGAAACCGAGUCUUAACUGGGCGUUAAGUUGCAGGGUAUAGACCCGAAACCCGGUGAUCUAGCCAUGGGCAGGUUGAAGGUUGGGUAACACUAACUGGAGGACCGAACCGACUAAUGUUGAAAAAUUAGCGGAUGACUUGUGGCUGGGGGUGAAAGGCCAAUCAAACCGGGAGAUAGCUGGUUCUCCCCGAAAGCUAUUUAGGUAGCGCCUCGUGAACUCAUCUUCGGGGGUAGAGCACUGUUUCGGCUAGGGGGUCAUCCCGACUUACCAACCCGAUGCAAACUACGAAUACCGAAGAAUGUUAUCACGGGAGACACACGGCGGGUGCUAACGUCCGUCGUGAAGAGGGAAACAACCCAGACCGCCAGCUAAGGUCCCAAAGUCAUGGUUAAGUGGGAAACGAUGUGGGAAGGCACAGACAGCCAGGAUGUUGGCUUAGAAGCAGCCAUCAUUUAAAGAAAGCGUAAUAGCUCACUGGUCGAGUCGGCCUGCGCGGAAGAUGUAACGGGGCUAAACCAUGCACCGAAGCUGCGGCAGCGACACUAUGUGUUGUUGGGUAGGGGAGCGUUCUGUAAGCCUGCGAAGGUGACCUGUGAGGGUUGCUGGAGGUAUCAGAAGUGCGAAUGCUGACAUAAGUAACGAUAAAGCGGGUGAAAAGCCCGCUCGCCGGAAGACCAAGGGUUCCUGUCCAACGUUAAUCGGGGCAGGGUGAGUCGACCCCUAAGGCGAGGCCGAAAGGCGUAGUCGAUGGGAAACAGGUUAAUAUUCCUGUACUUGGUGUUACUGCGAAGGGGGGACGGAGAAGGCUAUGUUAGCCGGGCGACGGUUGUCCCGGUUUAAGCAUGUAGGCUGGUUGUCCAGGCAAAUCCGGAUAAUCAAGGCUGAGGUGUGAUGACGAGGCACUACGGUGCUGAAGUAACAAAUGCCCUGCUUCCAGGAAAAGCCUCUAAGCAUCAGGUAACAU
RNAcentral lists this ribosomal RNA (1234 nucleotides) under Klebsiella pneumoniae. Its description in RNAcentral is "partial 23S ribosomal RNA". It matches the Rfam family "Bacterial large subunit ribosomal RNA", at positions 398 to 1637 of the family's 2925-position model. The record is from RNAcentral. Lineage: Bacteria; Pseudomonadati; Pseudomonadota; Gammaproteobacteria; Enterobacterales; Enterobacteriaceae.